GGUGGUUUGUUGUAGUCAUUGCCACUGCAAGACCGAAGUUCCGAACGCUUCCCUCCACUUUUUUCUCCGGUUGUUUUGGAGCAAAAACCAAACAGCGCCCUCCACCCCACAGAAAACUCCCUUUUUGACUUCUCUUCUAUGACGCAAUGGUCCCCCCUCUUGACAGGCAUGGAGGCGCCCUCUUACAUGGGUCCACGCCACUCUAAAAUGCGUUCAAACUUUACCUUGAGUGAGUGCAUUACCUACCCACCCACCAGAACCUCUCUCUCUGUUAGUCGUUGAAGUCUCUUUUGCUCUCUUCUGUACUGCAGUCCCAACCUUGCCAUCUCUUCCUCACGCUGACAACAGCAUCAGAAGGCGUCGGCGGACAUUUGUAUACACCAACGCACCCCCAAUGCACGCGUCUAGUUUUGCCGGCGUACGCCCAAGCAGUGCGCGCAAACGGCAGACGGCGACUACACUCACGCACUCAUGCGGUGUGUCGCCGACCGUUGGGAGAGGUCUCCCACCCUCAGAAGAGGAGCGGAGGGUCGAUAUAGCUUUAGGGCUUCUCACUCCUCCGAACCGAACCGAGUGGGUGAUGCACUGGAUUAAAGGCGAUUCCGUCCGUUCGCCUUCAAUCGAUGACAGCGAGCGCGACUGCUUCGGUUUCCCAAGCACUAAACACUUGGGGAGAGGAGCUUGUGAAUACAAAAUGCAAUGCUCCUCUUGCGUCAGGCGAGGCGACUCUCUAACCGCAACCGGACACCGCUAGAGAGGCUUUAAUUACGGCCUGGAUUACAGUCCUUCGAUGGCUCGAUGCGCGCUGGAGUUAUUGGAUUUUCUAGUUCCUCUCGUAAAACUCAAUAAUCCUCUUCAUUUAUAGUCGUGUAUAUUUGUUGGACAUUUUUUCCCACAAGCUUCGUGGAACUUCCUACUAAAAGAGAGUAUGCCAUGUGAAGCAAACGAAUUAAGAACUUCUGGAUGAGCUGCUAAUGACGACAUCUACCCAUCCAAACCUGGACGAUCAUUAAAAAUGCAUUAAGCACUAGCGAGCUAGCUGGUGUAAA
Anopheles gambiae (African malaria mosquito) is the source of this 1049-nucleotide long non-coding RNA. RefSeq lists it as uncharacterized. The transcript has 2 exons. NCBI's taxonomy places the organism in Eukaryota, Metazoa, Arthropoda, Insecta, Diptera, Culicidae. The record is from RefSeq and is a predicted model, not a curated record.